CAAAAACAUAGCUGUACGUUUUUUAAUGUAUAGUGAUUUCUGCUCAUGAAUAUUAAAUAGCCGCAGUACCCUGACUGUGCUAAGGUAGCGCAAUCAAUUGACUUUUAAAUGAAGUCCUGUAUAAAAGAAAACAUGGGGGGCUACUUUUUCAUUACUAAUAAACGAAUUUGCUAAGAGAGUGCAAAUUCUCUCAAAAAAAUAAAAGACGAGAAGACCCUAGAAAUUUUCAUUGAAAUUUUUGUUGGGGCAACACGGUGGUAUUUCAAAUCCACUUUGACGACACGGAAGAGGUAUUUAGGAAGAUUAAAUUACUCUAGGGAUAACAGCAUAAUUUUUGAAAGUUUGUGACCUCGAUGUUGGAUUAGGGAAUUUUCAUUUAGAAGAUAAAAAUGGGCCUCUGUUCG
Molecule: ribosomal RNA, 404 nt
Filed under: Austrochloritis nambucca
Lineage: Eukaryota; Metazoa; Mollusca; Gastropoda; Stylommatophora; Camaenidae
Description: partial 16S ribosomal RNA
Rfam family: Bacterial large subunit ribosomal RNA
Source: RNAcentral